GGAUUAUGGUGGAAAAACGGCUCUGGAUGGAGUUUGGAUUUGGGUUUGGAGGCAUCUCAAGGGGUUUGGGGAACAGGGAUGGACGUGGGGUGGGUGGAGAUGGAGCCGUCCUGGAUUUUCAUGGAUUGGGAGGCUCCUGGUGGAUGAUCCAGGAAAAAAAUUGGGAUUACAGCAGAAAAACAUCUCCAGAAUGGAGCUGGGAUUGGGUUUGGAGACAUCUCAAGGGGUUUGAGGAACAGGUUGGACGUGGGGUGGGUGGAGCUGGAGCCAUCCCGGAUGUUCAUGGUUUAGGAGGCUCCUGGUGGAUGCCGGAUGUUGAUCCAGGAAAAAAAAUUGGGAUUAUGGUGGAAAAACGGCUCCCAACGGAGCUGGGAUGGGUUUGGAGGCAUCUCAAGGGGUUUGAGGAGCAGGGAUGGACGUGGGGUGGGUGGAGAUGGAGCCGUCCUGGAUUUUCAUGGAUUGGGAGGCUCCUGGUGGAUGAUCCAGGCAAAAAAAUGUGGAUUACAGCAGAAAAACUUCUCCAGAAUGGAGCUGGGAUGGGGUUUGGAGGCAUCUCAAGGGCUUUGAGGAACAGGGAUGGACGUGGGGUGGGUGGACCUGGAGCCAUCCUGGAUUUUUGUGCAUUGGGAGGUUCCUGGUGGGUGCUGGGCACUGAUCCAGGAAAAAAACCUGGGAUUAUGGUGGAAAAACGGCUCUGGAUGGAGUUUGGAUUUGGGUUUGGAGGCAUCUCAAGGGCUUUGAGGAGCAGGGAUGGACGUGGGGUGGGUGGAGAUGGAGCCAUCCUGGAUUUUUGUGCAUUGGGAGGCUCCUGGUGGGUGCCAGAUGUUGAUCCAGGAAAAAAACCUGAGAUUAUGGUGGAAAAACGGCUCUGAAGAAAUCUGGGAUGGGGUUUGGAGGCAUCUCAAGGGCUUUGGGGAACAGGUUGGACGUGGGGUGGGUGGAGGUGGAGCCAUCCUGGAUUUUCAUGGAUUGGGAGGUUCCUGGUGGAUGAUCCAGGAAAAAAAUGUGGAUUACAGCAGAAAAACAUCUCCAGAAUGGAGCUGGAAUGGGGUUUGGAGGCAUCUCAAGGGGUUUGAGGAGCAGGUUGGACGUGGGGUGGGUGGAGAUGGAGCCAUCCUGGAUUUUCAUGGAUUGGGAGGCUCCUGGUGGAUGUCGAGUGUUGAUCCAGGAAAAAAACCUGGGAUUAUGGUGGAAAAACAGCUCUGAAGAACUCUGGGAUGGGGUUUGGAGGCAUCUCAGGGGGUUUGAGGAGCAGGGUUGGACGUGGGGUGGGUGGAGCUGGAGCCAUCC
RNAcentral lists this long non-coding RNA (1290 nucleotides) under Parus major (Great Tit). RNAcentral describes it as "lncRNA (ENSPMJG00000001869.1)". Lineage: Eukaryota; Metazoa; Chordata; Aves; Passeriformes; Paridae. The record is from RNAcentral.